This 1320-nucleotide long non-coding RNA is filed under the name Ricinus communis (castor bean). RNAcentral describes it as "long non-coding RNA (RCOM_LNC000001)". Lineage: Eukaryota; Viridiplantae; Streptophyta; Magnoliopsida; Malpighiales; Euphorbiaceae. The record is from RNAcentral.
AGUGCCUGAAGAGCAUAUUUGCCGAAACAAAUACGAUUACCUCGAAAAGCUAUUCCUUUCAUUCUUCCUCUAUGUUGUUUACGGAAUCGGGUUCUUUUUGGGUUAUAGUUGAUGGUUGUUUCUCAAUUCCAUCUCUACUACAGAACCGGACAUGAGAGUUUCUUCUCAUCCAGCUCCUCGCGAAUGAAAUGUAUAUAUAUGUGUUUGAUGAAUAAUAUACUAAAUCAUGGGAUUCUUUGAGAUUUCACUUAAUUUAUUUACUUAAUCUAAUCUAUUUCUAAUUUAUUUAUUAGAUUAUUUUCUAUUUUAUUAGAUUAUUAGAAUAGAAAUAGAAAUUGGUAUAUAUAUAUAUAUAUAUAUAUAUUUUUUUAUUAUAAUUAUGAUAUCAGAUCGCUAAAAUUUAGAAAUCCAAUAAUCUAAAAAAUUUCGCGGGCGAAUAUUUACUCUUUCAAUAUUUAUUUUAUUUGUUUUGUAGAGCUAAUCCACGAUCCUUCAGAAUAAAUGGAUUGUCUUUUGGUUCCUUUCGCUAUCCUCCCAAUAAAUCAUUAAGAUUUGUUUUCAAUAAAAUCUUAUGUAUUUACAGGUUCCGUCGUUCCCAUCGCUUCUCCAUUAAUGGUUAGGUCUUAAUUUUACAAUGGAGCCUCUAAUUUGAUUUGUUCUUGAGUCAAUCUUCUCAGUCUUUAUUGGCUCGAGGCUCUUGAUUUUUUGUUUUAUGAAUGAAUUAGUUUCAUUAUAGAUCAAUUGGUAUUGAUGCUUUAGUACAUUAGCCUUUAUCUGAUGAUUCAUAGACCUUACAUAUCGGAAUCAUAGAUCAUUGAUAUUUUUUUCUCUCUUUCUUUCACCCUUCCAUUUAUCCGCAUAAUUUUGAUUUUGAUUUACAACUCCUAAUCAAAUCAGAUUGGUUUUUCUUUUGUUUUUUGUUUUGUUUGUGCAAAAAGGAUUUAAAUUGCUCCAAUAAUAAAUAAAAAUAUGAGCAAUAUAUCAUAUCUUGAAUGUUUCCUUGGAUCUAGAUAAUGCAAAGCGAUGAGUUGGUUAUUAGUUGUAUUUGGUUAUUAGUUGUAUAUUUAUACUUAUUAGUUCAUAGUAUGAGUCAGUCCUUUUUUUUAAUCCUGAACCUAAAAAACCAACGAGUCACACACUAAGCAUAGCAAUUAUAUCAAAUUAUCAAUCGAAUUUUUUAUUUUAUUCAACCCUAUAGAAAUAUAAUUCGAAUUGAUUCUUUUUUUUUUUAAUAAUAAAAAAAAAAAGAAUCAAAGAGUUUGUCAUUUUUGUUUUAUCAAUAGAUAGAAUGUAAAGACAAGUCAAGUAAGGGUUUAUUAU